This 348-nucleotide ribosomal RNA is filed under the name uncultured Oscillospiraceae bacterium. RNAcentral's name for it is "bacterial SSU rRNA". It matches the Rfam family "Bacterial small subunit ribosomal RNA", at positions 1035 to 1382 of the family's 1533-position model. Lineage: Bacteria; Bacillati; Bacillota; Clostridia; Eubacteriales; Oscillospiraceae. The record is from RNAcentral.
CAGGUGGUGCAUGGUUGUCGUCAGCUCGUGUCGUGAGAUGUUGGGUUAAGUCCCGCAACGAGCGCAACCCCUGUGGUUAGUUGCCAGCAAGUAGCGUUGGGCACUCUAGCCAGACUGCCGGUGAUAAAUCGGAGGAAGGUGGGGACGACGUCAAAUCAUCAUGCCCUUUAUGUCCUGGGCUACACACGUACUACAAUGGCCGUUACAACGGGAAGCGAAGGAGCAAUCCGGAGCAAAUCCCUUAAAGGCGGUCCCAGUUCAGAUUGUGGGCUGAAACUCGCCCACGUGAAGGCGGAAUUGCUAGUAAUUGCAGAUCAGCAUGCUGCAGUGAAUACGUUCCCGGGCCUU